AACGAACGCUGGCGGCAUGCCUAACACAUGCAAGUCGAACGAGACCUUCGGGUCUAGUGGCGCACGGGUGCGUAACGCGUGGGAACCUGCCCUUAGGUUCGGAAUAACUCCCCGAAAGGGGUGCUAAUACCGGAUAAUGUCUUCGGACCAAAGAUUUAUCGCCUUUGGAUGGGCCCGCGUUGGAUUAGCUAGUUGGUAGGGUAAAAGCCUACCAAGGCGACGAUCCAUAGCUGGUCUGAGAGGAUGAUCAGCCACACUGGGACUGAGACACGGCCCAGACUCCUACGGGAGGCAGCAGUGGGGAAUAUUGGACAAUGGGGGAAAGGCUGAUCCAGCAAGGCCGCGUGAGUGAUGAAGGCAUUAGGGUUGUAAAGCUCUUUUACCCGGGAUGAUAAUGACAGUACCGGGAGAAUAAGCGCCGGCUAACUCCGUG
This 433-nucleotide ribosomal RNA is filed under the name uncultured bacterium. RNAcentral's name for it is "partial 16S ribosomal RNA". It matches the Rfam family "Bacterial small subunit ribosomal RNA", at positions 29 to 507 of the family's 1533-position model. The record is from RNAcentral.